This 465-nucleotide ribosomal RNA is filed under the name Vreelandella stevensii. RNAcentral's name for it is "partial 16S ribosomal RNA". It matches the Rfam family "Bacterial small subunit ribosomal RNA", at positions 338 to 795 of the family's 1533-position model. Lineage: Bacteria; Pseudomonadati; Pseudomonadota; Gammaproteobacteria; Oceanospirillales; Halomonadaceae. The record is from RNAcentral.
CCUACGGGUGGCUGCAGUGGGGAAUAUUGGACAAUGGGCGAAAGCCUGAUCCAGCCAUGCCGCGUGUGUGAAGAAGGCCUUCGGGUUGUAAAGCACUUUCAGUGGGGAAGAAAGCCUUGGGGCUAAUACCCUCGAGGAAGGACAUCACCCACAGAAGAAGCACCGGCUAACUCCGUGCCAGCAGCCGCGGUAAUACGGAGGGUGCGAGCGUUAAUCGGAAUUACUGGGCGUAAAGCGCGCGUAGGCGGUCUGAUAAGCCGGUUGUGAAAGCCCCGGGCUCAACCUGGGAACGGCAUCCGGAACUGUCAGGCUAGAGUGCAGGAGAGGAAGGUAGAAGUCCCGGUGUAGCGGUGAAAUGCGUAGAGAUCGGGAGGAAUACCAGUGGCGAAGGCGGCCUUCUGGACUGACACUGACGCUGAGGUGCGAAAGCGUGGGUAGCAAACAGGAUUAGAUACCCUUGUAGUC